AAUACAAAUAUGUGGAUACAUCCUGAAGAUGAAGCAACAUAUGAAAAUAUUCUCAAAGUGCAAGCGGAUCAUUGUCAAGAUCCUAAUGCUAUUCCCCUUACACAAGAGGAGAUCUUAAACUUGGUGUUUAAGAAGAAGUCUGGUAUUGUAAAAGGACUUGGCAUGAGACCUUCCUCUUCUCUAGUAACCACCGCCUCCUUUAAUUCAUCGGUGGAGUAUAUCCAACGGUUAGAAAAUGAGAUAAUUGAGCUCAAAGAGGCAAGAGUUAGAGAUCAAGAGGAGCGAGCUAAGGACCAAGAUGCACGAACUAAACAAGAUGAGGUCCAAAAGAAUAUUCUUAACUUUUUAAGGAGCAAGGGUUAUGAUGAUGCUCUUACUUAUAGGGGUGGUUCAACUUCAAGUUAAAACACUUUUUGAUUUCUUAUUGGUGGCUUUUAGGGGAUUUACUUUUGGCAUUACUUGAAGACAUAUGAGAACAUCUUCCGUUAGUUCUAAAAUAGGGUUUAGGUAGAGUUAUUGUAUGUAUUGCAAACAAUUAUUGUAUGGAAGAAGUUUGAAUUAGAUACUUAUUUUAUUUUUUA
Quercus robur (English oak) is the source of this 581-nucleotide long non-coding RNA. RefSeq lists it as uncharacterized. The record is from RefSeq and is a predicted model, not a curated record. NCBI's taxonomy places the organism in Eukaryota, Viridiplantae, Streptophyta, Magnoliopsida, Fagales, Fagaceae. The transcript has 3 exons.